UACAUAACAAAUGUUUGAAUCUACAAAAUGUAUACUUCUCUUGAAAUUAAGUUAAAAAUUGAAAAAUUGAAAAAUAACAGGACUUUUGCUCAGAUUUUUGAAAUGACAAUACUACUGAAUUUCUAAAUGGAAAAAAAAUGUUCUUGCAUAACGUAAAAGACACUUUAAGGCAAAACAUAAUCCUAAGGUAUGCAUCUGUUUGAUUGUAUUUAAUAUAUUGCAAUAAUGGAUCAUUUUCUUCACUUUAAUUAAAACAUGAAAAUUUAAUUGAUCCAUAAUUGUAUAAAAUGUUUUCAGCUGUAUCAAAUAAGUUAUGACAAACAUAUGAAUGAUUUAUUUCAUGUAUUUUUAGAAUUUGAAAUUCUGAAAUGAAAAGUAUAUUACAUAUUCUUUUUAAAAAUUUAACUUCCGUUUACUGGUAUAAAUCUAGAUAUAUCUUCUCACCAAGCCUGCAUUGCAAGCUAGCAUCUAAAUGUUGAUCUUCAUUUCAAUAAGCUUUUCAAUACCUUGUGAUCUAUACAUAUUUUUAUGAAUCAUUUGUAUUAAACUGCAAUCAGGUACAAAUUAUUAUCAUUAUUUAAAAAAAAAACAUGGGACAUGGAUUCCCAAUUCAUUGGUUAUUAGAACAAUGAGCAGAAAUUUUGUCAUUUUCAUAAAAUUUCAUACACUAAAGGAGUGAAAUCAAGGAAAGAAUGAUUUACAUGUUUCUGAUAUAAAAAUCAGGUUAUUAUUUAUUUUUAAACAAUUAAAAUAUCCUCUUUGACAACAGAUAAUCAAGAUGCAGACAGUUAUUUUCUAUAGAGUUCAAAGGUCAUAGGUAAUUAGGUCAUUAGAUUAUAUGUAUGUCAGCAGACAUACUUUGAAAAGUGGGCAUCCUGAGAAUGAUUAAGUCAAUCUAUUUUGAAUAAGCUGAGCAAGAUAUUUGGAAUACAAUGAACGUACAUACACAUAGUGAUGGCAGUAGUUAAACAUGACCGUUGGGCCUAGUGAACAAAUAUGUGUAUUCCUCACCCCUUCCUUUACAUAGUGAAAUACCAAAAAGCACAAUAAUGAAUUAUGAAAGAACAUCAAACUAACGGAAUGACACGAUGCAUAACGUGAAAUUAUUAGAAUUGAAGUGCAGUUUAGCAAAUUAAUGAGUGAAUGUACAAAUCAUAAGAAAAUAAUAUCACAUGUGGUAGAAAAUAACAUACAGAAAGUAAAAUGUAUGUUUUUAUUAU
This 1220-nucleotide long non-coding RNA is filed under the name Mytilus galloprovincialis (Mediterranean mussel). Lineage: Eukaryota; Metazoa; Mollusca; Bivalvia; Mytilida; Mytilidae. The record is from RNAcentral.